This 524-nucleotide ribosomal RNA is filed under the name uncultured bacterium. RNAcentral describes it as "partial 16S ribosomal RNA". It matches the Rfam family "Bacterial small subunit ribosomal RNA", at positions 28 to 523 of the family's 1533-position model. The record is from RNAcentral.
GACGAACGCUGGCGGCGUGCCUAAUACAUGCAAGUCGAGCGCAGGAAGCCGUCUGAACCCUUCGGGGGGACGACGGUGGAAUGAGCGGCGGACGGGUGAGUAACACGUAAAGAACCUGCCCAUAGGUCUGGGAUAACCACGAGAAAUCGGGGCUAAUACCGGAUGUGUCAUCGGACCGCAUGGUCCGCUGAUGAAAGGCGCUCCGGCGUCGCCCAUGGAUGGCUUUGCGGUGCAUUAGCUAGUUGGUGGGGUAACGGCCCACCAAGGCGACGAUGCAUAGCGGACCUGAGAGGGUGAUCGGCCACACUGGGACUGAGACAAGGCCCAGACUCCUACGGGAGUCAGCAGUAGGGAAUCUUCCACAAUGGACGAAAGUCUGAUGGAGCAACGCCGCGUGAACGAUGAAGGCUUUCGGGUCGUAAAGUUCUGUUGUAAGGGAAGAACAAGUGCCGCAGGCAAUGGCGGCACCUUGACGGUACCUUGCGAGAAAGCCACGGCUAACUACGUGCCAGCCGCCGCCGUAA